Molecule: ribosomal RNA, 255 nt
Filed under: uncultured bacterium
Lineage: Bacteria
Description: partial 16S ribosomal RNA
Rfam family: Bacterial small subunit ribosomal RNA
Source: RNAcentral
UACGGAGGAUCCAAGCGUUAUCCGGAAUCAUUGGGUUUAAAGGGUCCGUAGGCGGUUUGGUAAGUCAGUGGUGAAAGCCCAUCGCUCAACGGUGGAACGGCCAUUGAUACUGCCAGGCUUUGAAAUUAUUAGGAAGUAACUAGAAUAUGUAGUGUAGCGGUGAAAUGCUUAGAGAUUACAUGGAAUACCAAUUGCGAAGGCAGGUUACUACUAAUGGAUUGACGCUGAUGGACGAAAGCGUGGGUAGCGAACAGG